GCGUGAACGAUGAAGGCUUUCGGGUCGUAAAGUUCUGUUGUUAGGGAAGAACAAGUACCAGAGUAACUGCUGGUACCUUGACGGUACCUAACCAGAAAGCCACGGCUAACUACGUGCCAGCAGCCGCGGUAAUACGUAGGUGGCAAGCGUUAUCCGGAAUUAUUGGGCGUAAAGCGCGCGCAGGUGGUUCUUUAAGUCUGAUGUGAAAGCCCCCGGCUCAACCGGGGAGGGUCAUUGGAAACUGGGGAACUUGAGUAUAGAAGAGGAAAGUGGAAUUCCACGUGUAGCGGUGAAAUGCGUAGAGAUGUGGAGGAACACCAGUGGCGAAGGCGACUUUCUGGUCUAUAACUGACACUGAGGCGCGAAAGCGUGGGGAGCAAACAGGAUUAGAUACCCUGGUAGUCCACGCCGUAAACGAUGAGUGCUAAGUGUUAGAGGGUUUCCGCCCUUUAGUGCUGCAGCUAACGCAUUAAACACUCCCCCUGGGGAGUACGGCCGCAAGGCU
Molecule: ribosomal RNA, 505 nt
Filed under: uncultured bacterium
Lineage: Bacteria
Description: bacterial SSU rRNA
Rfam family: Bacterial small subunit ribosomal RNA
Source: RNAcentral